AUGUACCACUUGUACACUCCGGUUCCUCCGCGCCGGCCACACCCACCUGACGACCGCUCGCUACGUGUUGCUAGCC
Molecule: small RNA, 76 nt
Filed under: Xanthomonas sp. NCPPB 1560
Lineage: Bacteria; Pseudomonadati; Pseudomonadota; Gammaproteobacteria; Lysobacterales; Lysobacteraceae
Also listed under: 5 other names
Description: sX9 sRNA
Rfam family: Xanthomonas sRNA sX9
Source: RNAcentral